This 72-nucleotide transfer RNA is filed under the name Marmota marmota marmota (Alpine marmot). It matches the Rfam family "tRNA". From Rfam's summary of the family: Transfer RNA (tRNA) molecules are approximately 80 nucleotides in length. Lineage: Eukaryota; Metazoa; Chordata; Mammalia; Rodentia; Sciuridae. The record is from Rfam by way of RNAcentral. RNAcentral also lists the same sequence under 3 other names.
UGGGGUGUAGCCCAGUGGUAAAGCACUUGACAAGCAUGCAUGAGGCCCUGGGUUCCAUCCCCAGCACUGCAA